AACUGCGACUGGAUGAGACUCAAAAAAUGGUGGUACGUACUGGAACAAAUACUCCUGGCAUACCCAUGUCGUUGGCAGCAAAAGGUAUUUCAGUUACUAGUUCUUCCAUAUGCUAGAGGAAUUUCUUUCAACCCACCUUGAGCAGAGCUCGUGGCAUCAAUUCUUCAUUGUUCUGUGUGAAAAUUUAUGAGCAGGAAGGAAUAGUUCUGCCCGAUGAGCAGUUCCAGUUGAGUUCUCCCUACAGAUAGUUUGACUUUUAUUUUCAAGCAUUAAGUUAUCCUAGAUAUUUGAUUGGUACUCCACCUUGCAAUCAAGGAAGCUCUGAAAAUGAAACACGUGAUGUUUGAUACACCUUGGUACACCACGACUCAAGCUCUCUGCAUUUUUUGUUAAAGGUCAUCGGGCUGGGCACCGGCUGCUUAUGUGUUGUACGCCUUGGGCGUCCCUGUGCUGGUGAUGAGCGUGAUGGCCGUGCAUUGACCUGCAUCGCCUGUCCGAACUGUGCCGGCCAUGCGUCCGACAACCUCGUCCAUCCCUGAUCACCUCUUCCGCGCAAUCAGCGGCACAUACACAGACAUGCCUGUGCUGUAUUAUACUUGAACUUCAGAGCUUCUGAACUCUCUGAAUCGGUGUGCAUGUUUUUAUAUUGUGUCAUUGCAUAGCUCCACCACUGAAUUUGGAAAUUCAGUCAAUGCUUAAACUUGAUAAAAAAGAGCAAGAAACAGUGACAGAUUAUGUGUGUUUUUCACGGAAGUGAGCUGGGAAUUUAGAUCUUCCUUUUCAUAAUAUUAAGGGCAUCGAUCAUUCAACUAUUUAUGUUAUCCUUCAUGCUCUGACUUGAGUGAAGUUAUGUGAACUAGCAUAGUAUAUUGUAAUUUUCUGAUUUUGAGUCGUGGCAUAUAGUCCUCACACAAAGUAGUUGCAAAUAUAUUGAAGUAUAUUAUGCACAUAGUUAUCCUCCCUAAUGCCUAAACUGGUACCUUUUCAAUCUUUGUGUUGACUACUAAACAUAAUUAUUGUAGGUCUUCCCUGACCCAUGGUCACGCGAAAGCGGUGCUGCUUCGGCAAGCUCCUCUGUCCCCCGAGCACAGUGUUGUCCAUGACGGUCUCCUCCCUCCUGUUCCCUCAGCGAGGAUGAUGUCAAUUUUUUGCGAAACAGAAAGUUAUGUAGUUCUUCAGUAUAUGUCCAUAGAAACCUAUGACAAUUUCUUCAGUAGCAGUUCAACAGAAAAUCCUGCUGUAGUUCUUGAGUAUUGUUCCAUUAGAAUUUCAUGUUAUCUAAGUAUUUUUAGUACUUGCUAUUGCAGAUAAGUGUUUGUUAGAAUUGACAUUCUGUUAGUAAAGUACCAUUCUUCAGUAUAUGUUCUGAAAAUUUCAUCUUUUGUGUGCCUGGUGUGAAUCGUUGGUCUUCUCUCACUUUUGCUCCUGGAUUAGAGGUAGCAUGUUGAUUUUCGCACUUGAUGAAGAACAUAUCCUAAAAUGUGAAAAAAAUUGUUCCCCAAUGAAUAAUUUAUUGUCGUAAAGAUCUAUUUUCUUCCAGAGUGAUGAAGUUUUGCUCCUAAACAAAGAACUUUAUGUUGGUCCUGAAUGAGGAGGUAGUAUAGGGAACUACAUGUACGUGUUUUUCCAAAAACUUUCUUAAACCAUUUUUGAUGAAGUAUAGGGAACUUCAUGUACGUG
This 1680-nucleotide long non-coding RNA is filed under the name Triticum aestivum (bread wheat). RNAcentral's name for it is "long non-coding RNA (TAES_LNC013850)". Lineage: Eukaryota; Viridiplantae; Streptophyta; Magnoliopsida; Poales; Poaceae. The record is from RNAcentral.